UACGAAAUCAUAAUUUGUCCAAAUGACCAGUGAUGAAAGACCUGCGCACCAGAAACAAAUUUCAUUGGUAGUCGGGCGCAACCCACAGUCUGCUGACAGAUGCUACGAUACCAGGUAUGUUAUGCACAUCUGUCCACGAGAGAUUACAUGGUAGGUAGCAGUAAACAUAGCAGUCUAUAUCUUGACCUCAAUCUCCAUCUGGUAGACUGCUUGAAUCCACUGCUCCAGAUUUAUUUUUUUAUUUUUUUAAAUCUAAAGACACAUGAUCAUCACUUAGGCUUAAACCUCUCCGUUUCAUUUCAAUGAGGGUGAGUCAGGAGUUGCUUAGUGGUCAAGGGGCUAGUGGUCAGUUUGGAACCAGCCUGUGUGUUCCACAGCCACACAGGAGGCCCAGAGUACACACGUUCCAGGGAUUUCCUUAGAUGCUCGUUUCUGACAGAGACAGUCCCAUUUCUGUCCACAACAGUAACCAUUUGUUUUCAUUAUUUUCAAAAGGAGAGAUGCACAGAUGUGAUCUCCCUCUGGAUAGAUAAGCAUGGACAAUAACAAUAAGCACUGAAAAAGAGGGAAAAUAGUCAUUUGUUACUGGCCAACUCCAAUCCGAGGGCGAGUUGCCAUAUUGUAAUAUUUUCGUUGCCCUCAUUGUAAAACACUCUUACAAACAAAAACAGUCUCAAACAGGCAGGUUCUCAGGUGCACAACAAAAAACGUCAAAAUGUUCAGCUUUGUACUUCUGGUUUUCUGUUUGCCUCUGGAUGGGCGGGGUUUAGUGGUGUCCCCUACAUCGCAGUAAGUCAGGGCUAUUUGGAGAGGAGGGGUCUGGAAGGUGAGGGUAGUUUUGGAGAGGAGGGGUCUGGAAGGUGAGGGUAGUUUUGGAGAGGAGGGGUCUGGAAGGUGAGAGUAGUUUUGGAGAGGAGGGGUCUGGAAGGUGAGAGUAGUUUUGGAGAGGAGGGGUCUGGGCUCUGGAAGGGGUCUGGGCUCUGGAAGGUGAUGGUCGACUCAGAGUUCUGUCAGAGAGAGAAGACCCCACCCCUCCUCCCCUGAAUAGGAACCUCAGAAAGAGUCCAAUUGAUAAUUUAUCAGUAGUGAUCAAUCAGUCUGUAUGGAUCAGAGACCAGUAGUGAUCAAUCAGUCUGUAUGGAUCAGAGACCAGUAGUGAUCAAUCAGUCUGUAUGGAUCAGACACCAGUAGUGAUCAAUCAGUCUGUAUGGAUCAGAGAUCAGUAGUGAUCAAUCAGUCUGUAUGGAUCAGAGACCAGUAGUGAUCAAUCAGUCUGUAUGGAUCAGACACCAGUAGUGAUCAAUCAGUCUGUAUGGAUCAGAGAUCAGUAGUGAUCAAUCAGUCUGUAUGGAUCAGAGACCAGUAGUGAUCAAUCAGUCUGUAUGGAUCAGAGACCAGUAGUGAUCAAUCAGUCUGUAUGGAUCAGACACCAGUAGUGAUCAAUCAGUCUGUAUGGAUCAGAGAUCAGUAGUGAUCAAUCAGUCUGUAUGGA
Molecule: long non-coding RNA, 1492 nt
Organism: Oncorhynchus tshawytscha (Chinook salmon)
Lineage: Eukaryota; Metazoa; Chordata; Actinopteri; Salmoniformes; Salmonidae
Exons: 2
Source: RefSeq, a predicted model, not a curated record